ACAAUAGCUCAGUUGGUAGAGCAUGAGACUCUUAAUCUCAGGGUCAUGGGUUUGAGCCUCACUUUCAGUG
RNAcentral lists this transfer RNA (70 nucleotides) under Podarcis lilfordi (Lilford's wall lizard). RNAcentral's name for it is "tRNA.Lys". The stretch from base 3 to 64 matches the Rfam family "tRNA", at positions 6 to 65 of the family's 71-position model. Rfam says of the family: Transfer RNA (tRNA) molecules are approximately 80 nucleotides in length. Their secondary structure includes four short double-helical elements and three loops (D, anti-codon, and T loops). Further hydrogen bonds mediate the characteristic L-shaped molecular structure. tRNAs have two regions of fundamental functional importance: the anti-codon, which is responsible for specific mRNA codon recognition, and the 3' end, to which the tRNAs corresponding amino acid is attached (by aminoacyl-tRNA synthetases). tRNAs cope with the degeneracy of the genetic code in two manners: having more than one tRNA (with a specific anti-codon) for a particular amino acid; and 'wobble' base-pairing, i.e. permitting non-standard base-pairing at the 3rd anti-codon position. The record is from RNAcentral. Lineage: Eukaryota; Metazoa; Chordata; Lepidosauria; Squamata; Lacertidae.